This 497-nucleotide ribosomal RNA is filed under the name uncultured bacterium. RNAcentral describes it as "partial 16S ribosomal RNA". It matches the Rfam family "Bacterial small subunit ribosomal RNA", at positions 28 to 507 of the family's 1533-position model. The record is from RNAcentral.
GACGAACGCUGGCGGCGUGCCUAAUACAUGCCAGUUGAGCGAUGAAGAUUGGUGCUUGCACCAAUUUGAAGAGCAGCGAACGGGUGAGUAACGCGUGGGGAAUCUGCCUUUGAGCGGGGGACAACAUUUGGAAACGAAUGCUAAUACCGCAUAACAACUUUAAACAUAAGUUUUAAGUUUGAAAGAUGCAAUUGCAUCACUCAAAGAUGAUCCCGCGUUGUAUUAGCUAGUUGGUGAGGUAAAGGCUCACCAAGGCGAUGAUACAUAGCCGACCUGAGAGGGUGAUCGGCCACAUUGGGACUGAGACACGGCCCAAACUCCUACGGGAGGCAGCAGUAGGGAAUCUUCGGCAAUGGACGAAAGUCUGGCCGAGCAACGCCGCGUGAGUGAAGAAGGUUUUCGGAUCGUAAAACUCUGUUGGUAGAGAAGAACGUUGGUGAGAGUGGAAAGCUCAUCAAGUGACGGUAACUACCCAGAAAGGGACGGCUAACUACGUG